Gopherus flavomarginatus (Mexican gopher tortoise) is the source of this 1669-nucleotide long non-coding RNA. RefSeq lists it as uncharacterized. The record is from RefSeq and is a predicted model, not a curated record. Lineage: Eukaryota; Metazoa; Chordata; Testudines; Testudinidae. The transcript has 3 exons.
UAUACAGAGAAGUGGCCAGUCUGGACAUACGUGUGUAAAGAAACGCUACCCAAAGACCCUAGCAGCCCUGCCACUCCUUGGAACCAGGAGAUGGGAUUGAUGUAAAGGUCCACCAAUGAAAGACUGCUCUGGCUACACCCUGGAAAGGCCCUUAUUAAGUCCUGCUACCUACCAACACCACUGUGAAGUGUCAAAGACUGGCUGCUUGGACUCAAGAUUCUCACUGCAAAAAGACCCCUCCACAUCGGGAGAAUUCUCCUACUGAUGAUUAGCCUAUUUCGCCUUCUAGCUCCACUGUGCCUUCUGGACAGCAGGGAAAAAGUACAAGGAUGCUGAACCAUGACUGUUUCGGGAAAGAAGAAGGAACACUCAGAAAUUGGCAAAGUCCAGGAAUUCCUGACUAGAAAGGACAUUAAGAACUGACCCUGGUGAAGAAACGAAGAAUUAUACACUGGCUGGAGGACAUUUGUGGGACCCAUGCUUGGGAAUGUGGUAUUGAUUGGAGCUUGGGGUUUAUUCUACAGGCUGCGCCCUGUGUCCUGGAGAGUGACUAAUAAGGUAACCCCCCUCCUAUGCUAUUAAUGUCGAUGCCUUUUGAAGGUACCUGAGAAUAGUUAAAUAACAGGUGUAUUAUAGUACUACACCAAGGAAAGAUGGUAUUGAAUAUCACACUGAGGCUGGGAAGGCAUUGCAGUGGGAUCUAGUAUGUUUAGGAAUUUGGGAUUUCCUGAAUGACCAGCUGAUGGCCAUUUGGAGUGAUCUUGAGUACCAGACUUGGCCCACUGCCCUUACAGACACAUCAGAAAUACCAUCUGAUCUGUGAUCAUCGAGACAUACGUGGACAAUUCCUGGGUGGAAGUGUGGCUUCCUAAAUACCAUCUGAUCUGUGAUCAUCGAGACAUACGUGGACACUUCCUGGGUGGAAGUGUGGCUUCCCAGGGUGGGGUGUGCGCCCUUAUAGGGGAUGAAUGAAAGGAAACCCACUAUUUCUGAUUCCCUCUGGGGCUGGUUACUCAACCUGGGAGAACUAGGGGAAGGCAUUGUUCACCUCCUGCACACUGGUGUGGUGUUGUGUAUCGUUACUCUUCUCUUGCUUGCUUGCUGUAAAGCAAUUCAGCUCCCUAGAGCUAAAUCACAUGUUAUCCUUUAAAUGUGAGAACACUCAGCCAAAAGUUUGUUGAGUAUUCUCAAAGGAGGGAGUUGUUGGUGUCACUAAGCAUAACCCUAAGUAACUUGGGAGGGUGGAAGGCCACAAGGGUAUGAAGCCUUCCUGGUUUUAGGCCUCAGCAGACAAAAGUCCCUCCAUGUUUGAACUUUAAUCGACCUAAAAGGCCAGGUGUAACAGCCGUUAUCAGUUGCAACAGUACUAACUGGUCUAAAACAGAAAUAAUGAGGCCUGUGCACCUUUAGCAGAAGGACAAGAUAACUUGCAGAAGGAAAACUUACUAACGAGCUGCCGCGGCCAAGAUUACUUAAUGCACCUGCGCUUACGUAAUUGCUACGGGGGGAGGGGGGAGAGAAAGAAGAAAGAGAAAAAAAACUUAUAAAAAGGGAAAAGCCGCUUGUGUAGGGGUGCUGGAUCUGAGGCAUGUCAAGUCUCCCAGCACCGCUUUGAGAUCUCAAAUAAACUUUGCUUGCUUCUCCACCCUGGUGUGUGUUCAUUGGUGCU